Molecule: ribosomal RNA, 355 nt
Filed under: Klebsiella pneumoniae
Lineage: Bacteria; Pseudomonadati; Pseudomonadota; Gammaproteobacteria; Enterobacterales; Enterobacteriaceae
Description: bacterial LSU rRNA
Rfam family: Bacterial large subunit ribosomal RNA
Source: RNAcentral
UGCUGGAGGUAUCAGAAGUGCGAAUGCUGACAUAAGUAACGAUAAAGCGGGUGAAAAGCCCGCUCGCCGGAAGACCAAGGGUUCCUGUCCAACGUUAAUCGGGGCAGGUGAGUCGACCCCUAAGGCGAGGCCGAAAGGCGUAGUCGAUGGGAAACAGGUUAAUAUUCCUGUACUUGGUGUUACUGGCGAAGGGGGGACGGAGAAGGCUAUGUUAGCCGGGCGACGGUUGUCCCGGUUUAAGCAUGUAGGCUGAUUGUCCAGGCAAAUCCGGAUAAUCAAGGCUGAGGUGUGAUGACGAGGCACUACGGUGCUGAAGUAACAAAUGCCCUGCUUCCAGGAAAAGCCUCUAAGCAUC